CAGACUACCUGUUGAGGUGCCGGUGCUUUAUGUAACCAUUUAUAGCUAGCUCGUCUAACAGCAACCUCAUGAGCUUCACCACCAAGUUAGAAAGUUGUGCAACUAAUAAGGACGCAAGCUAGGCUACCAAAACGGCAAAGAGAUAGCAAAGUGUUAACCUUGUUAACUUUAACUGCAGUAGAUUUAAUUUACUCUUCUCAGGAGAAUACAAGCUAGUGCUGUCAC
This 225-nucleotide long non-coding RNA is filed under the name Setaria viridis. RNAcentral describes it as "long non-coding RNA (SVIR_LNC000935)". The record is from RNAcentral. Lineage: Eukaryota; Viridiplantae; Streptophyta; Magnoliopsida; Poales; Poaceae.